CCUACGGGUGGCAGCAGUGAGGAAUAUUGGUCAAUGGCCGAGAGUCUGAACCAGCCAAGUAGCGUGAAGGAUGACUGCCCUAUGGGUUGUAAACUUCUUUUAUAUGGGAAUAAAAUGUUCCACGUGUGGGAUUUUGUAUGUACCAUAUGAAUAAGGAUCGGCUAACUCCGUGCCAGCAGCCGCGGUAAUACGGAGGAUCCGAGCGUUAUCCGGAUUUAUUGGGUUUAAGGGGAGCGUAGGUGGAUUGUUAAGUAAGUUGUGAAAGUUUGCGGUUCAACCGGAAAAUUGCAGUUGAAACUGGCAGUCUUGAGUACAGUAGAGGUGGGCGGAAUUCGUGGUGUAGCGGUGAAAUGCUUAGAUAUCACGAAGAACUCCGAUUGCGAAGGCAGUUCACUGGACUGCAACUGACACUGAGGCUCGAAAGUGUGGGUAUCAAACAGGAUUAGAUACCCUUGUAGUC
This 460-nucleotide ribosomal RNA is filed under the name uncultured bacterium. RNAcentral's name for it is "partial 16S ribosomal RNA". It matches the Rfam family "Bacterial small subunit ribosomal RNA", at positions 338 to 795 of the family's 1533-position model. The record is from RNAcentral.